Molecule: long non-coding RNA, 1752 nt
Filed under: Homo sapiens (human)
Lineage: Eukaryota; Metazoa; Chordata; Mammalia; Primates; Hominidae
Description: non-protein coding lnc-SGMS2-5:1
Source: RNAcentral
GCAGUCGUGGAACCUCAGGUGCCUCUGCGGCACCGAGCCUAGCUCUGAGCUAACGCAGAUCUCUAAGAGCGAGUACCAGCCGCCGGGAGAAAGGCAAGGGGAGUGCGCGGCUCGCCGCGCGCGGCACUCCCUCAGCAGAGGCUGAUUGGGAGGACGCUGACGCGGCCUCUUGCACCUGUGGCUACUCCUCCACAGACCUGGCUGCCGACCUCCUGUCUGCCCCUUCUGUGCCCAUGUCACCCUGGCCAAAUGUUUUAAAUGUUUUACAGCUUUGCAAAGGGAAGAAUUGAUUUACCGAACAGCUCAUUCUCCACAUUAAAAUUCUACUCAAGACACAAUUUUUUUUCUUUUUUUGAGACGGAGUCUUGCUCUGUCGCCCAGGCUGGAGUGCAGUAGUAGGAUCUCGGCUCACCGCAACCUCUGCCUCCCGGGUUCAAGCGAUUCUCCUGCCUCAGCCUCCCGAGUAGCUGGGACUACAGGCGUGUGCCACCACGCCCGGCUAAUUUUUGUAUUUUUAGUAGAGACGGGGUUUCACUAUGUUGGCCAGGCUGGUCUCGAAUUCCUGACCUCAUGAUCCGCCCGCCUCAGCUUCCCAAAGUGCUGGGAUUCCAGGCGUGAGCGACAGCGCCUGGCCUCAAGACACAGUUUUUAAAAAGAUAUAAUAAAAGCCCGAUUUCUUGACAUCAAUAAUUAAUAUCUCAACCUGGAUUAGUGAUUACUUAUAAGGUGCCUCCCUCUCCGCUAGGAGACCCCACUUCGCAUCAGAUUUCUGUGCAGUGCUUCUUACCGACCUACACCGGAAAGGGGCUUCUGUAUUAUUAAGAGCUACUCAGGAAAUACCUAGAGGACUGAAAUCCAGGACCGGGGAGGCCGCAGGUAACCCCGAAUAGAACUCCCGCCUACGGAGGACAUUUUCAAAUUCACCUAAUUAUUCCAGGGCUAGUUCGUAGGAGGAUGGGCUGGGGGCAUGACAGAGUUUCCUCCAGGAGUUAUCUUCCCCACACCCCCCAUAACUCUGAGUUCUCUUUUCCGCAGCUUGCCCCUGGCACCAAAAGAGUUGCUUGCAGCUCUGCCCCCCUGUGACACAGCCGCCCUCCGCCCCUGACCCCGCCCAUCACCAAGACCUGAGACUGCUGCCUGUUAGUGACUAGCAAAUUAGCCCCCAUCACCAAGACCUGAGGCUGCUGCUGCUGCCUGUUAGUGACUAGCAAAUCAGCCCCCAUCACCAAGACCUGAGGCUGCUGCCUGUUAGUGACUAGCAAAUCAGCCCUCCAUCUAUUUGCCCCACUGCUACUGUCUUAAAUUAGGCCUCCCCUAUAUCCAGCCUGAGUUAUCAUUAAGCCCGUUCACUGGACAUCCUCCCAGCUGUGCAGCCGCUCUCCACAUCCCCGCCACACACCCCAUUCUUGCACCUGCUGUCAGAGCGGUAUUUCUGAAACAGAAAUCUGAUCUUGUUACUUGACUACUUAAAAUGUGAAUGGUUCCCUUCAGCUUUUUUUCUAGGGAAUUUUCAAUCUGGGGUUCAUACAUAGAACUGAAUUUCAAUAUAAUUUCAAAUUCUGCCAAUAACAGGAAUGAGCUUGGAAGAAGAUCUCAAGCUUCAUAUGAGAAAAUAGGGCCACAUCUGAAGUUAGCCAUUGCUCUGAGUUCUGGUUCUUAUUAGAGGGAAAUGGUAUUUAGAUAUAACGAUCUGGCUCUAGGAGUGCUCACUGCUGUGAGUUUGACCUUAUUUCUAGUAAAAGACUUUUUUUA